AUGGUCAGCCAGGGAACAGCAAAGAGCAUGGUUCUAACAAGUAGAAUAAGAAGCCAUUGCCAUGGAUGCGUCAUCUGGGAUUCUAAACACCAAGAGCAAAACCUGCGUUGUUCUGUGACAGGCUUGACUCACAGCGACUGGAACUGGAGAAGACAGAGACCAAGCCGUGGGCACCAGAGGUUCCUGUACCAUACACAGCAAAGAGGAAAGAUAGACGGAGCCUGUGUCCCUAAAGACACUGUGAAACUGAUGAGUCAAUCAGCCCUGAAGGCUGACUUAUCUCUGGAGAUGCUUCCGGUUAUGUGAGUUAAUAAUUUUCUUUGUUUGAUUUGACGUGGUUGUUAAUUGCAGCUGAAAAUCUAAUAGAGCCACAAGAGGAGAGAGUUUCAAGAAGCCAGGAAUGAUGGGGUCUGUAGAUGAUGGGCCAAGGAGGUCAUGCUAGGAUUUGGCUAAGGGAGGCCAUGGGUGGCCUUGUCAAGUCGUGUUCAGUGGGGUGGUGAUGCAAAUCCCCCUUUGCUUAUUUGUCUUUGUUCUUUCCUUGGUCCCCAUUAUCUUCCUUCUCCACUGGGCCACAAGAUAUUAGGGUUCUUCUCAGUAUAGUCUGGGCCUUUUUCUCACCUCUGUGUAUUCUUUUUCUUGAUGUCAUCCUUCCCUGUAGGUCUAAAUGGCAUUUAAUGCUGAGGUGGCCCAAAAUAUGUAUUUCCGGCUCAGAUAUCUGUGUUCAAGACUCACACACCCAACUGCUCACCUGACACCUCCAGGUGAAUCUUUCCCAGAUGGGCCAGACUUUGCCUGCCCAAAGCAGAAGAUUUGACCUGCCUUACCCCCUUCCCCCAGCCGUCUCUGUCUUCAUUCAGCAUUGCCCUUCACCCAGCUGCUCAAGCCAGAAACUAAAGUGUCAGCCUCUAAAAAAUAUUAGUUUUUAUUUUAUACUGGAGUAUAGUUGGUUUACUAUGUUGUUUUAGUUUCAAGUGUACAGCAAAGUUAUUAAUUAUA
RNAcentral lists this long non-coding RNA (996 nucleotides) under Sus scrofa (pig). Its description in RNAcentral is "lncRNA (ENSSSCG00070014888.1)". Lineage: Eukaryota; Metazoa; Chordata; Mammalia; Artiodactyla; Suidae. The record is from RNAcentral.